RNAcentral lists this long non-coding RNA (3522 nucleotides) under Ananas comosus (pineapple). RNAcentral describes it as "long non-coding RNA (ACOM_LNC036877)". Lineage: Eukaryota; Viridiplantae; Streptophyta; Magnoliopsida; Poales; Bromeliaceae. The record is from RNAcentral.
CAUGUUUACAUGAUUUUUGGUGCUUUGAAUUUUGUUUGAUUAAAAAUCAUUUUGAGGAAAGGUAUUUGGGGAUUCAAAUUUUUGAGAAAGGAGAUGAUUGAGAAUCAUUAUUUUGAGAAGAGAAAGUUUUUAAAGAUUGUUUAAACGGGUUUUAUCUUCACAAUCAUAUUAAGUUAAAUUCAUAUUAAUUAUCGUCUUUACUCCACUAUUUAUUAUUUUGACGAUAAUUUAUUAUAUGAUUUCUUAUUGCAUAAAUUCAUCAAAAUUUUGAAAUCAAAUUUGAUUUUUUGGUGAUUAAUUCAUCUUGGUUGUGAGUGUUGGAUAUGAUGAAUGGAUAUUCUCUAAUUGACUAAAAUUCGUCAAAAUUAUUUUCAAUUGUGAGAUUGCCUAAUUUAGGGGGAGUUUGAAAUUUUUUUUUUUAAAAAAAAAAGGAGAAAAAGAAACUCCUAUAUUUAAAAGAUGUGGAAAGAGUUACAUCCUAAAAGGAGUGUGAAAACUACCACCACAUGUAGGAAAGAGCUACCACCCCGGUCGUCCGGCAAGUGUGUGAAGCUACCACAUGAAGAUUAAAUUGGAUAAGCCGAAGAAGGUUGAAAAAAUAUAAAUAUUUUAGAAUUUUCGGAGUAAUAAGGUGCUAGUUUGAAAAAGAUGCUCAAAGAGCCACCCCCGGUGCCAUAUUAGUUAAAUCUCUAUUUUGAACGUGUUACGACAAAUUAGUGUCAAUUUUUGUUGAAUUUCUAAAAAUCAUUUUUCAUCAACUUACAUCUUGAUGGUUUUGAAUCGUUAAAUUAUUUUUGAUUUUGAAAUUUUGACGUUUUGAUGUGUUUUGAAAUUUUAUAAUAUUUUAUUUUCAUUAUAAUGAUUUUUGGAGUAAAAGCCUUAACUAUGUGAAUUUAAUUUAAAUGUGAUGGAUUUUUAAAGUAUAUUUUUCGAAAAAAAUUUUUCACAUUUUGGUCCUUGUACCGGAACAAGAACCCGUGUACCGGUACAAGGUCUGCGGCCGAGCGGAAUAUAACCGGGUAUAACGCUUCGAUCUUUCUCAAAACUCAAUCGUUUUUCAAAAUUUUUGGUUCUGUGAGCUCCAGAGACUCUCCUUCAUUCGUUCUACACAUUUUUUCUGUGGAUUUGUAAGUUUUUAGCAUCAAAUUUGUGAGUUUUAUCCCGAUUUUGCUAUUUUCACUGUUUUUGCGGGAUAAGGGUUUGAUCUCUAUUCUAAUCCGUUUUUGAUGCAAUUUUUUGCUAUAGAUCAGUGUCUUAGGCUAUUACCUUGCUUGUAGAACACUUGAACAACAUCAAAACAAGUUAUUUUUCGCUGAUCUAAAAUCUAUGUUCUAAUGUGCAUGUAAUUUCGGAAUUUUUCAAAAAAUUCAAUUUUUGCUGAAAUAUUUUGCAGGAUCUGGUUAGAAAUAGCUUUUGUAUGCAUUCUAAUGUAUUUAGAAAUUUUUUCGCUAUUUUUACAGAUUUUUUCCAGAAAUAUGUUCAUAUAUGCAAUUUUUGAUAGAGGAAAAUGGCAUUUUUGCUCGUACUGGUGCUUUUGGUGCUUAUGGCUGGGAGACGGAGCCGUGGUAGUGGUAGAGGUCGUCAUGGAGUUUCUAAAAGGACACGUACCACUGAAGAAGCGUCCGAUUCUGAUCCGGAUUAUCAGGAGAGCUCCUCUGAAGAAUCUGAAGAACCUAUUGCGCAACUUGACAAAGGCAAAGGUUUAGCUGGCGAAUCAUCUCCCGGUGGUGGUUCUCGUACUCGUGAGGGACGUUCAAAACAAGCUGCAGAGGUUCCUCCAGCACGGCGAAGGUUGUUUGCAUCAAAGUCGUGCAUAGCUGAACGCUUUGUGAACUUCCAUGAUCUGAUUCAGGAGGUUCCUGAUUUUGGACGAUUACUACAGCGCGCGCCUAUUGAGCCUGUUGGACGGGUUCCUGCGAAGGCUCCUUUCUGUGUAGAACUCAUUAGGGAGUUCUAUAUGAAUGGAAAGGUGCUUGCUGAAGAUGAUGAAACAGGCACGUUCAUCUUCGAGACUGUUGUGCGUCAGAGGAGAUUUCCAGUUACUCCCUAUGAUAUUGGAGAGAUCUUGGGGAUGCAUGUGGACACUUCAGGUCUUCUCUAUACUUCAGGAGGAUUUCAAGCAUCGACUCACCUGGAUAUCAUUCUUGGAGCUAUAUGCAAAGCCGGUGUUUACAUGACUCAUGGUUACAUUGAAUCCAAGGACUUAUUACCUGAGUAUCACUUGCUAUUCUUGGUUAUGAGCUACAAUAUUCAACCGACUAUCGGCACAAAGAGGAUUCGCUGGGAGAGAUUGGUGUUGCUAUAUCUACUUGGUCAUCCCGAGCAGGCUCGUGGGUUGAACAUCAANNNNNNNNNNNNNNNNNNNCGUACAAUCAACUUCUCAUUGAAUCAAAGAAGAUGGCUAAACUCAACAAGAAGUUGAGACGUCGUUUGUUGGAACUUGAGGAGGAAAACAACAACGUAAAGAAUUUGAAUAAGGUUCUUGAGGAGGAAAGAGAUUCAAGUUUGAAGAUUAAUUCAGACCUCCAAGAGAAGCUUAAUGAUGCGGAAUCAACGAUCAAAUCUUCUAACGACAAGAUUGGAUUUUUGGAGCAACAAUUCGAUGAAUCGCACAAGUCCAAUCAAGUCUUGACCAACCAAGUUCGUCAACUUCAAUCCGAUCUUCAACAAUUUUCUUCGGGAUCAAAGAAGUUGGACCAUAUGCUCGGGUUGGGUCAAACGGAUAAGUUGGGACUCGGAUAUGAAAGAACAUAUGUUGAGAAGGAUUCAAAAUCAACUUCUAAAGUCUCAACAACUUUGAAAGAGAAGGUGUGUCAUACAUGUGGCAUCAAAGGACAUAUCAAAAGGAGUUGCCCGAUCAAGACAAAGAAGAAUCAAUUGGCAACUUUGCAACCUCAAGUGGCAUCAUCUACAACUCGACUUCCCCCUCGGAAUCAAAAGCAAAAUCAAGUGCACAAGCCUCAACGACAAAAUCAACCGAAGCCUCAACCGAAGAAACCACCAACGGUUGGUCAAAAGUCUAAACAAACGGCACCUAACGUCGACAAGUUGAGAAAACAAAAGAUCCGACAAGUUUGGAUCCGGAAAGGUGAUAUCUUUCCUUGCUUCUCGUCUUAGCUGUUUCUGAUUUCUUGUGUAGUGCUUUGAUAGGUGCUUAUUGCAUAUUUUUAUUCAUUGCAUUACAUGUUUAUAUGAUUUUUGGUGCUUUAAAUUUUGUUUGGUUAAAAAUCAUUUUGAGGAAAGGUAUUUGGGGAUUCAAAUUUUUGAGAAAGGAGAUAAUUGAGAAUUAUUAUUUUGAAAAGAGAAAUUUCUUUAAUGUCGCGUAAACGGUAUUUAACUUCACAAUCAUAUUAAGUUAAGUUCAUAUUAAUUAUCGUUUUUACUCCACUUUUUAUUAUUUUGACGAUAAUUUAUUAUAUGAUUUCUUAUUGUAUAAAUUCAUCAAAAUUUUGAAAAUCAAAUUUGAUUUUUUGAUGAUUAUUUCAUCUUGGUUGUGAGUGUUGGAUAUGAUGAAUGGAUAUU